UACGUAGGGUGCAAGCGUUGUCCGGAAUUAUUGGGCGUAAAGGGCUCGUAGGCGGCCAACUAAGUCAGACGUGAAAUCCCUAGGCUCAACCUAGGAACUGCGUCUGAUACUGGAUGGCUUGAAUCCGGGAGAGGGAUGCAGAAUUCCAGGUGUAGCGGUGAAAUGCGUAGAUAUCUGGAGGAAUACCGGUGGCGAAGGCGGCAUCCUGGACCGGCAUUGACGCUGAGGAGCGAAAGCCAGGGGAGCAAACAGG
Molecule: ribosomal RNA, 253 nt
Filed under: uncultured bacterium
Lineage: Bacteria
Description: partial 16S ribosomal RNA
Rfam family: Bacterial small subunit ribosomal RNA
Source: RNAcentral